This 75-nucleotide transfer RNA is filed under the name Holosporaceae bacterium. RNAcentral describes it as "tRNA-Val". It matches the Rfam family "tRNA". From Rfam's summary of the family: Transfer RNA (tRNA) molecules are approximately 80 nucleotides in length. Their secondary structure includes four short double-helical elements and three loops (D, anti-codon, and T loops). The record is from RNAcentral. Lineage: Bacteria; Pseudomonadati; Pseudomonadota; Alphaproteobacteria; Holosporales; Holosporaceae.
GGACGCUUAGCUCAGAGGUAGAGCAUUACAUUCACACUGUAGGGGUCACAGGUUCAAUCCCUGUAGCGUCCACCA